This 305-nucleotide ribosomal RNA is filed under the name uncultured bacterium. RNAcentral's name for it is "bacterial SSU rRNA". It matches the Rfam family "Bacterial small subunit ribosomal RNA", at positions 337 to 659 of the family's 1533-position model. The record is from RNAcentral.
CCCUACGGGACGCAGCAGUGGGGGAUAUUGCACAAUGGGGGGAACCCUGAUGCAGCGACGCCGCGUGGGCGAUGGAGUACUUCGGUAUGUAAAGCCCUAUCAGCAGGGAAGAAAAUGACGGUACCUGACUAAGAAGCCCCGGCUAAAUACGUGCCAGCAGCCGCGGUAAUACGUAUGGGGCAAGCGUUAUCCGGAUUUACUAGGUGUAAAGGGAGCGUAGGCGGCCUGGCAAGCCUGAUGUGAAAUACCGGGGCCCAACCCCGGGGCUGCAUUGGGAACUGCCAGGUUGGAGUGCCGAAGAGGCG